RNAcentral lists this ribosomal RNA (253 nucleotides) under uncultured bacterium. RNAcentral describes it as "partial 16S ribosomal RNA". It matches the Rfam family "Bacterial small subunit ribosomal RNA", at positions 524 to 776 of the family's 1533-position model. The record is from RNAcentral.
UACGUAGGGGGCGAGCGUUGCUCGGAAUUACUGGGCGUAAAGGGUUCGUAGGCGGUCAGGCCAGUCGGCGGUGAAAUCUCCCGGCUUAACUGGGAGGGGUCCGCCGAAACUAUCUGACUCGAGGGCCGGAGAGGCGAGUGGAAUUACCGGUGUAGCGGUGAAAUGCGUAGAGAUCGGUAGGAACACCGGAGGCGAAGGCGGCUCGCUGGACGGCUCCUGACGCUGAGGAACGAAAGCUGGGGGAGCAAACAGG